AGGCUGCCAAGCUUGCAAGCUCAGGAGGUAAAACUCUCGUUCUGGAAAACCAAUCAGUCUCAAAAAACGGCGUACAGCUAUCUGCUUCUCCACCUCAUAAACGGAAUGUUGCCAUAAUAACUCAGAAAUUGAUCCAACAAGUGGAACUUGCAUAUCCUGGAAAGCCGUAGCUCGAUCACGAAUAAUAUGAUUCACAUCUU
RNAcentral lists this ribosomal RNA (200 nucleotides) under uncultured eukaryote. RNAcentral describes it as "partial 18S ribosomal RNA". The record is from RNAcentral.